RNAcentral lists this ribosomal RNA (440 nucleotides) under uncultured bacterium. Its description in RNAcentral is "partial 16S ribosomal RNA". It matches the Rfam family "Bacterial small subunit ribosomal RNA", at positions 338 to 795 of the family's 1533-position model. The record is from RNAcentral.
CCUACGGGAGGCAGCAGUGGGGGAUAUUGCACAAUGGGGGGAACCCUGAUGCAGCGACGCCGCGUGGGUGAAGAAGCGCCUCGGCGCGUAAAGCCCUGUCAGCAGGGAAGAAAAUGACGGUACCUGAAGAAGAAGCCCCGGCUAACUACGUGCCAGCAGCCGCGGUAAUACGUAGGGGGCAAGCGUUAUCCGGAUAGACUGGGUGGAAAGGGGGCGCAGACGGCGAUGCAAGCCAGGAAAGAAAGCCCGGGGCCCAAGCCCGGGACUGCUCUUGGAACUGCGUGGCUGGAGUGCAGGAGGGGCAGGCGGAAUUCCUGGUGUAGCGGUGAAAUGCGUAGAUAUCAGGAGGAACACCGGUGGCGGAGGCGGCCUGCUGGACUGCAACUGACGUUGAGGCCCGAAAGCGUGGGGAGCAAACAGGAUUAGAUACCCGUGUAGUC